Molecule: long non-coding RNA, 1421 nt
Organism: Culex quinquefasciatus (southern house mosquito)
Lineage: Eukaryota; Metazoa; Arthropoda; Insecta; Diptera; Culicidae
Exons: 4
Source: RefSeq, a predicted model, not a curated record
AGUCGUGCGGUGCGUAUGGACGUUAGUCUUGUAGAAUUACGCCGGAGGUGGAUUCUAAAGUUGAAAUACGUAGUCAGGGUAACCGGGAAGGUCGAAUCGUUGGGAAACGGCGCGAGGUGUUACACAAUUCAAGAUCUCCAAGACUGUCAGUCGUCGGAGUUCGCCGGCGUAUGGACAUAGCGACAACGACGCGCCAAGUGCAGUGAAUUGAAUUUAGAGAAAUUCACCUCGUGCGUUAUAACAAUUGGAUACGCUCUAUCGGCAAUUGUUUGAAUGAUAUGAAUGGACUACGGUAGUACCAGCUGGAUUGGGGUGUGUUGCCCUCGGGUACUACCGCACACACCAUUGUGAUUAAUCAUCGGAAUCAACUUUGCGAGUUGCGACAGUUACCUAUUCCUUUCAAUGUAUGGGUUGUGUUUACGGUGAAAUAUGGUAAUGAAAUAUGCAACAAGAAUUAAGUGAAGUGCUUGCUUUCCUUACAAAAAUAUUGCCAACCCAGAGCUAAUGAAAGGUGUAUGUGAGGUGGAAGAAGGAAAAGAAACAAGAUACAAAAGCUAUCAACGGUCACACGUACACAUCUACACAGCGCUCGUAGACUUCCAGCAGACUUAGCUUAAGUUCCAGCGUCCGACAAUGACGGCGAGGCUGAGUUCCUUGUCCAUGGCGAUCCUUUGCUGGAUAACAAUUUUAGACCGGGUACGAUUUCGGAAGGUUCCGAGCCUGCAGAUUCUGCCUUCGGCAUCCAACCAGCAGAAUCCUGUAGGUGCCUUGCUGCUACUGACGUGAGGAUGUCCCAGAUGAUGCACUGAUUUACAAUCUGCGUUGGAGUAGCAUCGUAACAUGACGACGAAAAAUGGCCAUCACGUGGAAGGAUGCACUGGAGGAUCUGCAGCCAAUCCUGGGUGACCACGACAUCCACCGGAAAUCGUGGUUUAGAUCCACAAUGGAGAUCCGUGCACAAACUCCACCUUGAGGUAUCUCCAACACUUGAUCGGCAGCGCAAGCAGAAGACGAUCUGCCGUGUUGAAAAGAGCAAAGAGAGGACUAGGAAGACUCCUAUGAGUUCCAAAAAAUCACUAGGGACGUGGCGUUACAUCGUGCUGCCAUCUGGUUUUUCUAAGUGCAAGAGUGGAAAAGUGCUGAGUCAUCGUCUAAAAAUAGACGGCGUCCUAUCUCGCCCAGCAAAAUGAAGUCGAUAAAGUAGUCGGUUUCGAUGAGAAAAAGUGGAAAAUGUGGUCUAAAAAUAGCGACGCCAUCCCCCUAUGGGAUGUCUUGGUGAAGAGAUGGAAUGUCAUGUUAUGUUUUGGAUGUUAUACUUUUUUCAAAUAAUCAUUACAAAACUUGUAUAAAAUCAAAUUAAACUCUCAAAUUUCAAAUAAGUGACUUCAUUCCUUGACCUUAAAAAAUGUUUGUUGGGCAAA